UAGGGAAUCUUCGGCAAUGGACGAAAGUCUGACCGAGCAACGCCGCGUGAGUGAAGAAGGUUUUCGGAUCGUAAAACUCUGUUGUUAGAGAAGAACAAGGACGUUAGUAACUGAACGUCCCCUGACGGUAUCUAACCAGAAAGCCACGGCUAACUACGUGCCAGCAGCCGCGGUAAUACGUAGGUGGCAAGCGUUGUCCGGAUUUAUUGGGCGUAAAGCGAGCGCAGGCGGUUUCUUAAGUCUGAUGUGAAAGCCCCCGGCUCAACCGGGGAGGGGCAUUGGAAACUGGGCGACUUGAGUGCAGAAGAGGAGAGUGGAAUUCCAUGUGUAGCGGUGAAAUGCGUAGAUAUAUGGAGGAACACCAGUGGCGAAGGCGGCUCUCUGGUCUGUAACUGACGCUGAGGCUCGAAAGCGUGGGGAGCAAACGGG
RNAcentral lists this ribosomal RNA (429 nucleotides) under Gemmatimonadota bacterium. RNAcentral's name for it is "Gemmatimonadetes bacterium partial 16S ribosomal RNA". It matches the Rfam family "Bacterial small subunit ribosomal RNA", at positions 355 to 776 of the family's 1533-position model. The record is from RNAcentral. Lineage: Bacteria; Pseudomonadati; Gemmatimonadota.